AUUGUUAAAAUCGCAACGGCUAAAAAUAGAUCCAGAAAAUAAUUUAUUGCAGGAAGCGAAAAGAAAAGAGAAAAGAGCACACUGAUAUUUAGGUGGUUCGGCCAACGACCUACGUCCACGGGCGAAGACGGAGCAAAUACUUUAUUAAUGUCGAAAAGGUGGAGUACAAAAAAAUCUCUCAAAAGACCAAAACUUAAUUGGAUCGAAAAUGCCGCAACAAACAACUCAAAAAAAAAAAAACGGCUUCUUUCUCAAAAUCGUACGGACCAAUAAAUGCCAAC
This 281-nucleotide long non-coding RNA is filed under the name Ananas comosus (pineapple). Its description in RNAcentral is "long non-coding RNA (ACOM_LNC041783)". Lineage: Eukaryota; Viridiplantae; Streptophyta; Magnoliopsida; Poales; Bromeliaceae. The record is from RNAcentral.